UACGCAGACAACCAGGAUGUUGGCUCAGAAGCAGCCACUCAUUCAAAGAGUGCGUAAUAGCUCACUGGUCGAGCGUCUUUGCGCGGAGAAUUUAACGGGGCUAAACCUGACACCGAAGCUUAGGCAAUGUUUACAUUGGGUAGGGGAGCGUUGUAUACGCGGUGAAACAGUAGCGCAAGCGGCUGUGGAGUGUAUAGAAGUGAGAAUGCCGGAAUGAGUAGCGCGAAUGCAGUGAGAAUCUGCAUGGCCGAAAGCCUCAGGUUUCUGGAGGAAGGUUCGUCCGCUCCAGGUUAGUCGGGAGCUAAGGUGAGGCCUAACGGCGUAGCCGAUGCACAGACGGUAGAGAUUCCGUCACCACCAAAAGAGUUAAACACAGGGACACAUAUGAAGUCUCGGAGCCGGGUGUUGGUUCCGGUAGCGAUCGAGGGAAGUUAGUACCGAAGUCUGAGAUGGAAGAUGGCGAGAAAAGCUGUGUGUAUUUCUGCGGUGCCCGUACCGCAAACCGACACAGGUAGGUAGGAA
This 522-nucleotide ribosomal RNA is filed under the name Faecalibacterium prausnitzii. Its description in RNAcentral is "partial 23S ribosomal RNA". It matches the Rfam family "Bacterial large subunit ribosomal RNA", at positions 1082 to 1673 of the family's 2925-position model. The record is from RNAcentral. Lineage: Bacteria; Bacillati; Bacillota; Clostridia; Eubacteriales; Oscillospiraceae.